UCCAGGUUGAAUCCAUGUGGCCCUGGCCAGGAUGGAUCCACGGGGCCAGGCCAGGCUGGAUCCAUGGGGCCUGGCCAGGCUGCAUCCACGGGACCUUCCCAGGCUGGUUC
Molecule: long non-coding RNA, 110 nt
Organism: Egretta garzetta (little egret)
Lineage: Eukaryota; Metazoa; Chordata; Aves; Pelecaniformes; Ardeidae
Exons: 3
Source: RefSeq, a predicted model, not a curated record